Long non-coding RNA from Zea mays, 397 nucleotides. RefSeq lists it as uncharacterized. NCBI's taxonomy places the organism in Eukaryota, Viridiplantae, Streptophyta, Magnoliopsida, Poales, Poaceae. The transcript has 3 exons. The record is from RefSeq and is a predicted model, not a curated record.
CGAAAACAGUAGGGGAAGCCCUAAACAAACCAGUUCUUGGGCAUUUGGCAAUGCAAAAACUAUCAGGAACAAUUCAAGUCGUUUUGGAAUUUUUUGUUGAGAUUCAGUUUGAUGCAAAUGGGAAGAUAUCAGGAGCUGCUAUAAGGGCCUAUCUUGUUGAAAGAUCCCGUGUCUGUCAAAUAUCUGAUCCAGAAAGAAACUACCACUGCUUUUGCAUGCUCUGUUCUGCACCAUCAGAAACCUCAAUGGUGGCCUAAAGCCCUGAAGGAACUUGCAAUGGGUCACUGAUUUUGUAUAGGGUACAAAAGACUCCAUCAGCCAUCCAUUCCAUCCUAUUUAGACUUGCAGCAUGGUGAUACGUGAUAACAUAUUAUAAUGAUGUUUGUUAUUCUAUCUA